RNAcentral lists this transfer RNA (449 nucleotides) under [Leptolyngbya] sp. JSC-1. RNAcentral describes it as "partial 16S-23S ribosomal RNA intergenic spacer". The stretch from base 248 to 320 matches the Rfam family "tRNA". Lineage: Bacteria; Bacillati; Cyanobacteriota. The record is from RNAcentral.
AGGGAGACCCGAACCCAACUUGAUUGAACCAAUUUGGAUUAAAUCAAGCUUGAGGUCAUCCCAAGGUCGGUCGGAAUCGGUGCGUUUGGCUUUCAAACUAUUUGGUUCGAGGAAUGGGCUAUUAGCUCAGGUGGUUAGAGCGCACCCCUGAUAAGGGUGAGGUCCCUGGUUCGAGUCCAGGAUGGCCCACCUUAACAGGAGCGAUGAGUGUCGGAGGUAGAUUCGAGAUUCAAGACUCUUGGGAUAUGGGGGUUUAGCUCAGUUGGUAGAGCGCCUGCUUUGCAAGCAGGAUGUCAGCAGUUCGAGUCUGCUAACCUCCACUGGGUAGGAAGCCCAAGCGCGAUUAAUCGAGUGAAUGAAGUUUGCAUGAUGUGAAUGGAUUUGCUAGUAUGGUUAAUUGUGCGUGAGAUAGCGAUUUCAGCAACUAAUCUUGAGGCAUCGUCAGAUGG